UCAUAAGUGCCAAAAGGUAGAUCACCAACAAGAAGAGGUCUUUUAGCACCUCUAGCCACAGCUCUACAAUGAACAAGCAUCUCAUCAAUGGUAAUAGGCAAAGUAGUAUCAUGUCCAUGAACGACCAUAGAUGCAGAAUCACCCACAAGACAUAUAUCAAUUCCAGCCAUAUCUAUAUGAACACCAGAUGGGUAAUCAUAACCCGUCACCAUUGUUAUCGCUUCACCCUUCUUAUACUUUUGCCUCAACGUCAUUAGGGUUACUCUUUGAUUUGGGUUUUGGGGUUUUGGUCCACCAUACACUGUGUUCUCAGGAAUAUUGCUCAAGAACCGCAAUUUUCUAUAAUGGGUAUACCCAGUUUUGCACAAUGAAGAUGAAAUUCCUCUUGAAAUUGAACGAAAAAACACCAUUUUCG
Molecule: unclassified non-coding RNA, 415 nt
Filed under: Hevea brasiliensis (rubber tree)
Lineage: Eukaryota; Viridiplantae; Streptophyta; Magnoliopsida; Malpighiales; Euphorbiaceae
Source: RNAcentral